This 1851-nucleotide long non-coding RNA is filed under the name Chlamydomonas reinhardtii. RNAcentral's name for it is "long non-coding RNA (CREI_LNC000216)". The record is from RNAcentral. Lineage: Eukaryota; Viridiplantae; Chlorophyta; Chlorophyceae; Chlamydomonadales; Chlamydomonadaceae.
GGCUGGGAGAAGGUGGGCCUGUGUGGGGCCAGCUAUGCUUGCCUGGCGCGGCAGAAGGGCUCGGGUUACUAUCCCAAGACGGCCCGAGUCAUUUAGGGCAAGGACCAGGGCCCGCUGGGCCACACGCGCGUAUUGUGGCAGGAGGGAGCCCAGGCCCAAGCCGUAUUCGUCGGCGGGCAGGAGGGAGGUCCGGGUGGGGAAGCUGCGGGGGAGUCCGUAGCAGCGUUUUGCAAAACCAGCCAGGGUAGUAGUGUCGAGCGUUGUUAUGUCAUGUUUUGUGAAGGGCAUUGCUGCGAAUCCAUAUGCAACUGUGGUGUGCACGCACUGUUGUAUCAUGCGCAGGCGUUGUGCCAGUGUCGCCAGGGAUGUGGCAAUGGCUGUGCCCUUGUCCUUCACAAUCUCGGUGACUCUUGCGACAUGUGCCGACCAGUCCAGCGAGAACGUGAGCUGCACUCCCAGGUACUUGUACGGCUGGGUCGGGGGGAAGUACGGGACAGGGGUCGUGCCAAUCUUAAUUGUGUUGGUCAUGUUGCGGCGCAUGGUGGCGAGGGUAGCUUUUCCUGUGGGCCCGUCAAGGUUGGGGUCCGAGCGAGAUUUGUCGUGCCAGAUGGCGGUGGUGGCACACUUGGUGUGAUUGACACGCAGGCUCGCCCACUCGGCGUAAGAUGCGAUUUUGUCACAUUGAACCUGCAGGUCGUCGAGCGAGUUGGUGAGCGCCGCCAGGUCGUCUGCGUACGCGGCGGCACUGCAAUGGUAUUGCAGGUUUUCGCUGGGGGUCAGGCAGCCGUAGUGGUAGCCCCGUCCGCCCGCAUGGAGCCAGCGGACAAGAGGUUCCAUGAACAGAAUAAAGAGCACAGGUGAGAGUGUAUCCCCUUCCCUACCGUUCCAGCCCCUAUUAAACCAUCGGUUAAUCGCUGGUUACCCAGCGGUUAUCCCGGGAGGAAUGGCCGGUUUGGCACUCAGGUUACCAUCGGUUUAUUUGGGCUUGAGGCCGCAGACCGACGGUUAAUAGACCGCCUCACUGGUUACCAGCGGUUAACAGACCGCGUGGUAACCAGUGUCGGACCAACUGGUUACCGUGCAGUGACCGCUUGGUUACCGUGCUGCGGCCCAGGCCCGCCCAGCUGCCGCCUGCCGCCCAGCCUCCACCCAGCCCCCUCCCAGGCCCGCCCAGCCCCCGCCCAGGCCCGCCCAGCCCGCCUGCCAGCCUGGGUUUAGGGUUGUUUAUUGUGGCCUGUAAAGUGUCUCCUUUACAUGAUGCCACCUUGAUAUACAAGCCUCGCCCUAGCAGUGACCACACACAUCAGCCUGCUGCAUUUUGUACCAAGUGCCCUCACCAACCCAUGUCAACUGCCUUAAAACUAAUAUAAAUAAGUAUGUAAACAUCCCGAAGGUCACCUGCCUUGUGUUCCCAGUCCAACUCACCAACAACACCAUACUCAGUUAGCCCUCUGCUUCCCUACUCCUUGGCACUCUCCAGCUGAGUCUCCGUGCAUUCAAAGCCCACCACAGUCUUGCUCUCCUGGUCUGCCACUGUCUACAACACUAUAUUACGUCUGUGCCAUUAACCCAAGCCUGUCAUAUGAUGUCUAAAUGGUAUGAAUGUGUCAAACGUGCAACAACAACCACUGGCGUGUCUGCUGGGCAUGACGUCUCCCACCACCUUGACACCCGUCUCCACUGCAGUCGGCACAUCACCCGCCUCCACAGCAGCCGCCACUGGUGCCACCGCGCCCGUCUCCAACUCUAGUGCCGGACAGCUCGUGUCAUGCUAGCUCCUGUAGUUCUGCCUCCACUGGCUGCACCUGCAUGCACGCGUGCACACAUGUGAACACACCCUGCACUCCUGCC